CCUCCCAUUCCAGGACCCUCCUCCAGGCCCCCUCCCGGAGGCGCGCUCCGCUCCAGCUCCGCCCCGCCCCCAGGGGGAGCUCGCGCCCUGGCCUCGGAGCCAGCCGCGUGCGGGCGGGAGUGCGCGGGUUUCCUACGGAGGUGGAAGCUGUGUGUGAGCUGCGCCCCGCAGCCCGCUCUCCCGCUCCAUUCUUCCCGCAGCCCCCCCUGCUCCAACCAGGUGACUGGGGGCUCAGCGGACCCGCCCUGCCGCCCGGAAUGGAGCGGGUCCCCAUGGAGCCCAAACUCCCUGCUCCACCUCUCUUCCCGCUGCCGCCGCCAAGCCGCUCCGAGCCCGAGGGAGAUGGCAACCCCCAUCCUUGUGCACGCCGUUGGACAGACUCCGCGCCGGAGCCCCGUCUGCCCUGGGCUGCCAGAGGUCUCCACAUCCUCCUCCUCCCUACUCUACCUGAGCUUCUUCCUCAUCUGCGGGACCCUGUGCCAAGGAACCUACCCAAAUCCAGGCCUGCUCCCUGAAACAUUGGCAAGAAACUGGAAAAAGAGGCUAAUAUGGAGAGGGAAGAAGUUUGGCAAGAUCUUUGGAGAGAAAAAGGACAGAGCUGAGCAAAUCUGCCCGCCAAAAUAUCACCCCUUUUCCAUGCUCCAUUCACAACCACCAGCCCAUUUUUCCACAUGACAAUCCUCUGCAGUCCAGAAGCUUGAAAAUUACAAGCCCAAGAUUCAAGACACAUGUUUCUUGUCCAGAGUCCUGCCUGUCUAGAAACAAAGAUAAAUCAGACCUCAGAGAAUCCGUCAAGCACUAUAUCCACUGGGCCCCCUAACCAGACUAGAAGUGCCCCAGUACAUUCUGAAGGGACACCUAUCACCUAUGUCCCCUGUGUGAGGUGAGGUGAUUUUGGAUGGAGUGACAACGACCCAGUGUCAGCAACCCUUCAUCUCUGGGCGUGUCUAUGGGGUUCUGCCAAACUUACCUCCACUGCAUCUCAGACUGAAGGUUCAGGGAGCUGCAGAUGGGCUCUGCCUGUGCUCUGGCACCGUCUGGUGUCCAUGCGCUCUAACAUUAACUCUCAGCUCUUCCGCCAGUUCCCUCAGUAGCCCUCUGGGCUGCACUGGCCUUGGACACCUGCCAGCUUGAUUUUCUUCCUCCUCUCCCUCUCAGUGCACUGAAGUGCCCUAUAGACCAGGGUAUUUCUCAAAGUCUCCUAGAGCGCUCACCACAACCCAAUACAGUAAAACUUGUUGGGUCCCCACCGUUGGGUCCUGAGAGCCCUCUUAUAUCAAUCCCCCUGCCUCAGUUCAUGAUACUGCCUUUAGGUCUGCUUCCUGCAAUAGAGGUAAGAUACAUGGGAAAAAAAGGCUCAAUGGACAGAAAAGAAGGAAGUUUAUGGAGAUGUCUUGAGAGAAAAUUCACAGUGAUUUGCAUAGCUGCCAACCAAAAUAUUACAACUUUUACAUGCUACAUUUAUGAAUAACAUCCCUUAUUUGUACAUGAUACACUCACAGAGGCCUUAGGCUUGAAACUACAAGCCCAAGAUUCAAGACAGAUGUUUCUGGGUCCUGAGUUGUGCCUCUCCUGAAACAAGGGAAGUCUGGCCCCAGAGAACCUAUCAAACUCUCUGGCCCUUGGGCCACAUGACCAGGCUGGAAAUACCCAUCAGAUUUUGAAGCCACAGGCAUGUCCCCACACUGAGGUGAGAAAAUUCUGGGCCAGAGAGUCAGAGGCACCCUGUAACCAAACCCUACAACUCUGGGCACAUCCUGAGUGUUCCACCAACUCAUCUUCAACCACAUCUCUAAGCUGGAGGUGUGUCCAGGAAGCUGCAGGUAUACGUUUCUGCUGCUCUGGCACCAUCUGGCGGCCAUCAGCUCUAACAUCAACUCUCAGCCCUUCAUUCUGUUUUCCCUCAGCUGUUCCCUGGGGCUGUUCUGGCUUUAGAUCUCUGCCAGCUUGAUGUUCUUUCUCUCAUCCUCUAAGCUUAAUGAAGUGCCCUACAGACUGGGCCGUUUCUCUUUCAAAGUCUCCCAGAGCACUCAUGCCAACCUACCCUAUCAAUACAUUAAAACCCUCUGCUUCCCCACCCACUGGCUCUUGAGUGCCUUCUUUGAAUCAGUCACCUUGCCUUAAUUCACAAGAACUGCAUUCAGGUCUGCUCCCUCUAACAGGGGUGGGAGACAGAAAAAGAGACUCAGAUGGAAGAAGGAUGAUUGUUGAGAACUUUGAGAGAAAAAGCACAGAGAUUAGCACAGCAUCCCACCAAGAAACACUCCUUUUCCAUGCUCCAUUCACAACCACCAAUCCAUUUUCUUAAAUGACACCUUCACAGAAGCUGGAGGUUUAAGAUUGCAAGCCCAGGAUUCAAAACAGAUAUUUGUGAUCCAGAGUUCUGCCUAUUGAGAAACAGGGCGAUCUGACCUUGGAGAACCUGCCAAACUCUCUCCUCCCGGGCAGCUGGACUAGGAUGGAAAUACCAGCCAGAGGCUGAAGGUGCACAUGUUUCCCUUGCUAAGGUUAGGAAAUUUUGGACAGAGUGUCAGAGGCAACCUAGAAUUAACCCCAACACUCUGGGCACAUCUUGGUGUAUUUACCAACCCAACUGCUAUUUAGCUGCACCUCUGAGCCUGGAGGUGUGGACAGGGAGCUGCAGAUGGGCUCUGUCUGUGCUCUGGCGCCAUCUGGUGGCCAACCCCUCUAAUGACAGCUCUUCACCCUUCCUCCUGUUUCCCCCAGCAGCCCCUGAGCUGCACUGGCCUUAAACACCUGCCAUCAUGAUGUUGCUCCCGCUCACCCUUUAAGCGACAUGACUUGCUUUGCAGACUGGGGUAUUUCCCUCGCAAAAUCUCCCAGAGCACUCACCCCAACCUAAACCACCCCAAUACAUUAAAAACCCUCUGCUUCCCCACCCACUAAAUCAAUCAGCUAGACCUGCCCUAAAGUUUGCUCCCUGUGAUACAGAGGUUGGAGGCUGGGGAAAAGAAGGUUCAGAGGGAAAUAGAAGAGGGAAGUUUGAAAUGUCUUGAAGGUAAAGGCACAGCGGUUCAAACUGCCACCCACCAAAAUUAGCACAGUUUUAUGAGCUCCAUUCAUGACCACGGGCUCCUUUUCCCAGAUGACAACUUUACAAAAGCCAGUGGCUUGAAAAUGUUAAGUCCAAGACUCAAGACAGAUAUCUGUGGGUCCAGAAUCCUGCCUUUCAAAAACAAAGGCUGGUCUGACCCCAGAGAUCUCCUCAAACUCUCUGGCCCCUGGGACACUCGACCAGUUUGGAAUCACCCAUCUGAUGCUGAAGGCACAUAUGUUUUUUCUUCUUGAGGUGAGCCAACUGGGCCCGAGAGUCAGAGAUGCCCUGAUAUAAAUUCCAACACUGGGCAUGUCCUGGGGUUUCCACCAACCCACCUUCCACCCCAUCUCUGAGCCUGAAGGUGCAGCCAAAGAGGCACAGAGGGCUCUGCCUGUGCUCUGGUGCCACCUGGUGCCCACCGGCUCUGACACCACCUCUCAGCCCUUCGCCCUUUCUUCCUCAGCAGCCCUGGGGCUACAACUGGCCUUGGCCUUCAAGCUGGGUUUCGUUCCAGAUCUCCUGUCAACCCAAGGAAAUGCCCUACAGACAGAGUCAUGACUUUCUCAAAGUCACCCAGUGCACUCACCCCACCUUAGAUCAGCCCACUACCUGAAAUCUGUCAGCGGCCUUACAUUUUCAAUACCAUGAGACUUGAAAUCAAUCAGCACUCUUUAGCCCUGUGACCCAGACUGAAAUCAGUAAACCUCCCUGCCCCACACAUUGCAAGUUUUCAGAUCGGUCCCGCUAACAGGGUUCAGGUAGAUGAGGAAGGGGGUGAGAUGGAAAGGGAAGCAAGAACCUUGGGGAGGACCUUUGAUGGAAAAAAAUCACAGGGAUUCCCAGAGCUGACCACUAAUAUAUCAAAAUGUUUCUGAGCUACAUUCAGGAAAAACCGACCCCUUUUCAACAUGACCCAACAGACAAGUCAGCUUGAAAAACUGCAAACCCAAGGUUAAAGACAGAUGAUUUUGGGUUCAGAGUCUUGCCCAGUGCUAAGCAAAGGCAUUUUGACCAUGGUGACUAUGUCAAAACUAUGGUGCCUGGGCCAUCCAACCAGACAGAAAAUAUAUAUCAGAUUUAGAGCCAUAGGUAUGUCAUUGCACAGAGGUAAAUCAAUGGGGGCUUGAGAGUGAGAAUCAACUUGUAAACACCCAGAAACUCUGGUAACAUACAAGGGGUUGCAUCAAUCCAAGAUCCUUCCUAUAUAUGAGCCUAGAGGUGUGGUCAGGAAAAGUAGGAGGGAUCUUCACCGUCUACCACAAUGAGGUGAAAAACAAACAUUUGCAAGAGCUAAUGAUUUGUACUUCAGUAAAAAAAUGUGAUUCAACAGGCUAUAUUAAACAGACCAACUACUAAAACAGCAAAAAACAAUCCCAACAAAAAAAAGGAUGUAAAUAAAACACACACCGCUCUGCAUUUCUGCGUCUUGGCCUGAGGUGCAGCUGCUGGGCUCUGCUGGUGCUCGGGCGCCCUCUGGCGGCCGUUCUCUCCAAUGACAACACCGAGCCUGUCCUCCCGCCUCCCGCCCAAACCCAGGGAUGGAGGGCACGGGCCAGGUCCCUCCUCCUCGCACUCUGAUGACCACCCUGCACCUUUCGGCGGGCCAGCUGCCUCUCUCAAAGUCACCCAGGGCACUCCCUCCUGCCCCCUCUAGCCAAACAACCCUCCCCUACCGACACCAGCCCACCCCACUGCAAGUCAGCCCACCAGCUGGAAACUCAUCUGCCUGCCUGAGCACACUCGGCCCAGCUCUAGCUAAUUCUUCCCUCCUCGGGCUGAAGUAACGGGAAGCCGCGGCUCAGGUUGAUAAAUACAAAGGGCGCUCUGGGGAGCAGUUGGAGAGCUGGACCCCAGGGAUCAGCACAGCACGGUCCGGCCAGCCAAAACCACCACUUGGCCACACUCCGCUCUGGUCCAGAAGCACACUGCUUUCUGGAUGCCACACCGCACAAACGCCUGACUUUCCAAAACUGACGUGCCCAAACUCAAACCAAACACCUUUGGGUGCAGGGCAUUUAGGGUUGUACCAGCUGCUGGAGAACCCCAAGCCUCCCACCCACCCCCACCC
Molecule: long non-coding RNA, 5126 nt
Filed under: Sus scrofa (pig)
Lineage: Eukaryota; Metazoa; Chordata; Mammalia; Artiodactyla; Suidae
Description: lncRNA (ENSSSCG00045036088.1)
Source: RNAcentral